AGAACUUUUGUAGUAUCAUUGCAAUUGCCAUCUUUGCUUCCAUCAUUGCAAAGUUUUGUCCGAUGCAAAUUCGAGGUCCCCAACCAAAUGGAAUAAACGAGACCUGUCCUUUUGUUGCCUUUGACACUCCUUCACUGAAUCUUUCUGGUUUGAAUUCCUUCGCGUCUUCACCCCAUAAUUCCUUGUCAUAAUGAAUUAACACUGUGGGUAUAAAGAGUAGCACUCCAGAUGGUAGACUCAGCUCCCCUAAUUUGACUUCAUGUUUGUUCCUUCUACGAUAUGUUGGUACUGGGGGGAAUAGCCUUAACGUCUCGUGCAAGAUCAUUGUCAUCUAUGGAAAGAAAAAUGUAUUGCUUAAGUUGGGUUAUUUUAAAUUGUCUUACAUAACGAACUUUCCGAAAGUACUUACAAUUUUGAGGCGACUUAGACCUUCCAAAUUUGGUUUUUCAUUUCCGAAGACCUGCAAAACCUCCUCUCUGGCACGUACUUGCCACUCUGGAUGUAGGCUCAACAAAAUCAUUGUCCACACGAGCAACACCGAAGUAGCCUCUUGUCCAGCAAAAUAGAACAACUUGCACUCUUCAAUCAACUCAAUUGUUGUCAUUCCGAAUUCCUUGCUUCCAUGUUGUUCAAUUUCUUUCAUAUUGGAUUCAAGUAAUAUGCCUAAUAAGUCAUUUUUACUAGUCUCCCCUGCUUCCAUUGCCCUCAAUCUUUUGUCAAUGAUACGCCUAAUCGUUGUUUGAACUUGCUUUUCGAUUGCCAGCAUUCUUUUGUUCCUUUUAGUAGGCAAGAACCUAACAAAACAAAUGUAAAAGUAAACAAGAAAAGUCAUUUUAGUAGAAAGUAAUGAACAUGUGAUUUUCCAUAUUAUGUAGAAAUUUCACAAAUAAAUCAUUAUACCUUGAUCCUGGUAUAUAAACUGAACGAGUUAUGUCAAUUACAUACUCAGCUUGUUCUUUCUGAAGUUCAAAUACUAUUCUCCCUUCUUCAUAGCUACUCCCAAAUGCGGUUCGAGAAAUGACUUCACCUGUCAUUAAUUGAAGGUCUGGCCAUACAUCGAGCUCGACUGAUGUUUCCUUUGGAACAAUAUCCUCCCAUUUGCUAAUCAUUUCACUACAACUUUGAUAAAACGCUGGCAACAUAUGCUGUACAAAACAAAUUAAUCGCCAAAACCAGUACUAGUUAUCAGUAGUGGAGCUACAUGUAUUGAAGGGGCUUCAAUUGAAAAUUCGCCAAUGUUCACUAAAUUUAGUAGUAAUAAGAAUAUGAAGUGAAUAUAACCUUUAACUUCUCAACAUGGAAAGCAGGAUUGAUGAUUUUUCUGUGUUUGGCCCAUUUGUCUUCCUCAAGCAACGCAAGACCUAUAGCCAAUAACUUGGCAAAUGGAUUGGGAUGAGCUUGCUUUUGGUACCCAUAAUUCUUUGUGAAAAUCACUUUUACAUGUUCAGGAUCUGUGAUUAACACUAUUGGAUAUGGGCCCAGCCACACAAAAGAAUUUUUACCUGAGAGUAAUCCGUUCUCGAUUAGGAAAAAUAUAAAAAAAAGAAGGGCUCUAAUUUGAUCUCAGCUGACAAGUAAGCACAAGUAAGACCGAUUAUCAACUAUGAAUUCAAAGGGCUCUAAUUGCUUAGGUAAUUGCAUCAGUCAACUAUAGUCUAUAGAGCAGGGGCGGAACUACCAUGGAUCUGCCUCUAGGAUGGAGCUAGGGUACUGAAAAGGGGUUCAUCUAGACCUUCUUUAUAGAAAAAUUAAGCUACAUAUAUACACGAACAGAAAAAAAAUAUUAUUCUUUUAAAGACGAAGAAUAAAAGAAACAUACCAUUUUUGUUGAUGGAGUCAAGGAAAAAAGGGAUGAGCCUUUGAGCUAUAUCAUCAUUAAAAUUGAUGGGCUUAGAUCUAGCUUCAUUGAGUUUAUUUGUGAGUUCCUUCGAAUCUCCGUAGAGUAAUUUGUAUGGAUUUCCCUUUAGACCAUUCUUUCUCAAGUAUUUCUCAAGUUUCUUUGGCUUAAACCAUGCCCAAUUCAACACUUUCCAUGUAUAUACCAACAAAAUUGCAACACAAAUUGCUGCUAUGAUUCUGUUGUAAGAAAUCUCCAUGAAAUUAAUAAGAGUCUUCUUUCUAGCUACUUUUUUUUACUUAGAAAAAAGAGGGGAAGUUAGCUAAUUUUGUAACUUUUUAAUAACAUUGUUGAAUACGCCUCCUCUCCAUUUUCCCCAUUUCUAUCUUGGAUCAGGGGCACAUGACAUACGUUAGAUUUAAUGACUAAUAUUUAAUUGACCAAAGAAAAUAUCUAAGCAUGAUUUAGAUGAUAAAUACAUUGUAUAUUUAGUUCAAAAAAUUAUUGUAAUCCCACAAUCUUAGCAAUAAAUUAUCUUGUCCAUAAAUAUCAUAUAUUACUAAAAGUGGGAAGAAACUAAGUCAAAAGUUGGAUUACGAAAAUACCCCUUACCUAUUAAUUUAUUUACUUAAAAUCAUUUACAAAAAAUAUUUUUUCAUUAAAAUCAACUCCAUAACUACACCUUUUCAUUUUCAUAACUUAUAUUCUAAUAAUAUUCAUUAAUUUUGUGCCUUUAACUCACACAUUAUCAUCUUAAAUUAAUAUUAUUUUCUACUUCUUUUUAGCUUCCAUCAGUUAAAAGAACUUUUCAUAUUCUUUUACCUUCUAUAAAAUCAAUAGUUUUAUCCUUUGGGUCAUUGUCAAAUUAUUAUAUGCUUUCUUUUUAAAAAUACUCAAUAUUUGAUGUAUUUUUAGCACUUUCUGCAACAAAGCUAUAUUCUUUUUAUAUUAGUUUCUUAGACCUUUGUUUUGCUCUUAAUAAUUUUUGUUCUUUAUUGUUCAUUGCUUGCGUUUUCAGUCUUCAGACUUUGUUUUAUAUUAUGCGACUUGUUUUGCUUGGUCAUUUUUUGAAAUUCUCGCAUCUGCUCAAUUGCUUCAUUACCUUCUCUAUCAAUUUAAGAAAUUUGUACUAAUUAGUAUAGAAUCACGUGCACGCACGUGUUCGAGAACUAGUAGUCAAAAAAAAGAGAAGAAAGAAAGACGAAUGUAAUAGAUUUAUUUGUCUUCUUCAUCCAAAACAUGAAGGCAAGACUUAUUCCUCAAAGGCACAAAUUCCUAUGUUGAAAACACUACUUCGAAUAUACUUUUUUCGUCUCAAAAUAAGUGUUGAUUUGGCUUGUUUCACGCUUAUUAAGAAAAAUAACAAAUAAAAGGUAUAGUUUACUAAGUUACCCUUAUUUAUUAGAUGUUUUUUGAGAGUCGAGUACUAUUAAGAAGAAGUAGUUCUUUAAUUCAAGGGUGUAGUUGGAAACAAUUACUAUAUUUUGUUUUCAAUUCUAAAGCGAUUCUUGUUUUGGAACAAUUGUUUUUAGUUGCUAAAGCAACACUUAUUUAGGGACGGAGGGAGUAAAAAUUGAAGUCAUAUCUUCUUUAAAUUAGAUUGGAAGAUUUGGAGAUUGUGUUCUGUUCUAUUUUCCAGUAGUUGUGGUCAGGGGCGGAGCCAAGUAAGGCUAUCUGAAUCCCCUUCCGUGAAAAAUCUAUUGUUUAUGCAUAGUUUUAAAAAAAUUAUAUAUAAAUAGUAGAUAUGGAACCCCUUUGGCCUUCAUGUAUUUUUUAUGUAAUUAGAUUUCGACCUUAUGAAACAAACUUGGAGGACUGGGAGUGAACAAUUUAUAUGCACAAUUAAAUGGAGUUUAUAUAGAUUUUCGUUAUACGGUUAAAGGCUUAACUUGGAUCAAUAGGAACCACUGAUAUAAACUCUUCAUGAGACAAGAUGGAGCAUCAUAACAAGUUUAAACUUAUUCACCCACAAAAGAGAAGUGAAAAAGAAAGUGAACAACGACAAUAACAUUUCAAAACUACAACGUUGAAAUUCGAAAAGAGUGACUUCAGCCAUAGCCCAACUAUUUAGUAGUAUUCGAUCCAUUUCAAAGUUUGCGCAUAAGCAGAGGAGCACCAUACUGUGGAUGAAUAGUAAUUAUUGCAAAUGGAGCAUGUGUAUAAGACGGAGAGAGUUCGAAGGAGAACUUUUGUAGUAUCAUUGCUAUUGCCAUUUUUGCUUCCAUCAUUGCAAAGUUUUGUCCAAUGCAAAUUCGGGGUCCCCAACCAAAUGGAAUAAACGAGACUUGUCCUUUUGUUACCUUUGACACUCCUUCACUGAAUCUUUCUGGUUUGAAUUCCUUCGCGUCUUCGCCCCAUAUUUCCUUGUCAUAAUGAAUAAAGAUUGCAGGUAUAAUGAGUAUCACUCCAGCUGGUAGAUACAGCUCCCCUAAUUUAACUUCUUCUUUGUUCGUUCUACUAAAUACUGGUAAUGGGGGGAAUAGCCUUAACGUCUCGUACAAGAUCAUUGUCACCUAAGGAAAAAAAAAUGCAUUGCAUAAGUUGGAAGUAAAAUUAGGUCACUUCUUAAAAAAUUCAGGGGUCAUGCCUUUCCGAGAUAUUUCAGGAUCCCAGUCCGAACGAUUUCACAUUAAUAGCUACUGGUUUUAUCCUGAUUUUAUAGUUUUCUUGAUCUUUGAAGUUUGAUCUAUGCAACGAUCUUAUGGAAAGUACUUACAAUUUUGAGGCGACUUAGUCCUUCCAAAUCUGGUUUUUCAUUUCCGAAGACCUGCAAAACCUCCUCUCUGGCCCGUACUUGCCACUCUGGAUGUAGGCACAACAAAAUCAUUGUCCACACGAGCAACACUGAAGUGGUCUCUUGUCCAGCAAAAUAGAAUAACUUGCACUCUUCAAUCACUUCUGUUGUUGUCAAUCCGAAACUUUGCUUCCGUGUUGUUCAAUUUCUUUCAUAUUGGAUUCAAGUAAUAUGCCUAAUAAGUCAUCUUUAUUAGUCUCCCCUGCUUCCAUUGCCCUCAAUCUUUUGUCGAUGAUAUGCCUAAUCGUUGUUUGAACUUGCUUUUCGAUUUCCAGCAUUCUUUUGUUCCUUUUAGUAGGCAAGAACCUAACAAAACAAAUUUAAAAGCAAACAAAGUAAUGAACAUGUGAUUUUCCAUAUUAUGAAGAAUUCUCAAAAGUAAAUUAUUAUACCUCGAUCCUGGUAUAUAAAUUGAACGACUUAUGUCCAUUAUAUGCUCAGCUUGUUCUUGCUGAAGUUCAAACACUAUUCUCCCUUCUUCAUAGCUACUACCAAAUGCGGUUCGAGAAAUAACCUCACUGGUCAUUAUUUGAAGGUCGGGCCAUACAUCGAGCUCGUAUGAUGUUUCCUUUGAAACAAUAUCCUCCCAUUUGCUUAUCAUUUCACUACAACUCAUAUAAAAUGCUGGCAACAUAUGCUGUACAAAACAAAUGAAAAUUAAAACAGAAAAUUGAAUUUUCUGUUUUUUUUUUGCCUAAAUUCAAUACAACAAAAAAGAAGCAUAUAUAACCUUUAACUUCUCAACAUGGAAAGCAGGAUUGAUGAUUUUUCUGUGUUUUGCCCAUUUGUCUUCCUCAACCAACACAAGACCUUGAGCCAAUAACUUGGCAAAUGGAUUUGGAUGAGUUUGCUUUUGGUACACAUAAUUCUUUGUCAAAAUCUCCUUUACAUGUUCAGGAUUUGUGAUCAACACUGUUGGAUAUGGGCCUAGCCACAUGAAAGAACUUUUACCUGCCAGUAAUCCGUUUUCGAUUAGAAAAAAAAAGGCAUAAUACAUAAAUAAACACUCAAUUUGAUUUCAGCUGUCAAAUAAGCACUCCAACUUUGAGGUUCAAAUCUAGACACUUCAACUUGGUCUCAACUAGCAACUAAACACUCCAACUGAUCUCUCCACUGUGUCUCGUAAACACCCAACACUAACGUGGCACAUAAAUUUUAGAUAAACUAAUCACAUAGUGGAGACAAAGUUGAGGUGUUUAGAUAUGCAUACUCAAAGUUGCAGUGUUUACUUUCCAACCGAAUGAAUAAAAGAAACAUACCAUUUUUGUUGAUGGAGUCAAGGAAAAAAGGGAUGAGCCUUUGAGUUAUAUCAUCAGAGAUAUUGAUAGGCUUAGACUUAGCUUCAACUAUACUUUUUGUGAGUUCAUUCAAAUCUCCAUAGAGUAACUUAUAUGGAUUUCCCUUUAGGCCUCUUUGCCCUAAGAAAUUCUCCAAUUUUUUUGGCCUAAACCAUGCCCAAUUCAACACUCUCCAUAUAUAUACCAACAAAAUUGCUACACAAAUUGUUGCUAUAAUUGUGUUGUACAAAAUCUCCAUGAAAUUUUAUUUUUCUAGCUGUUUAUUGUUACAUAGAAAAAAGAGGGGAAAAUAGCUAAUUUACCUUUUUUUUAAUUUGUUGUUUGUUGGACUAGAUAAGGCCUAGCUUUUCUCUCUAUAAUAUCGAAGGCAAAAACAUCAUUGUCCAGUACUAAUAAAGUCCUUUGUCCAAUCUGUUUGGAUCCAUUCAAUUUUGUGGGAUUCAAUGAUAUUAUCUAGGGAUAUUAAUAAACGGGUUUCUUAUUUAUUUUCUCGUGUUCUAAAAAAUAAUAUUAAUUUAAAAGUAUUUAUAUAUAACGAAAUAUAUCCCUUGUUAUACUGGAAGAGGUAUAUUUGGAUGGAAGCUAUAAUGGAAGGAGUAUAUUUGGACGAAAAGUAUAACGGAAAGGGAUAUCUAGACUAAAAGUAUAACGAGAUUGGUAUAUUUGAACUCAAAGUAUAGCAAAGAAUAUAUUUAAAUUAUUUUUUAUAGUACAAGUGUAUAUUCGGUUGUUUAUCCGUAUAUAUAGUCUAGAAAAAUACUAUGAGAGGUGGGGAUGGGGCCGUAGGGAUUGUGAGGAUGAAGAUAAGGUGUGCUGGAAGGUUUAGAAGACACAAUCAAUGUGGAAUGUCACUUGUGAUGCUUGUUUUUCCUACUUCUACUACAAAAGUCAUAUUUCAGCUCAUUUUUACGUAACUUGUUUUCGUAGAGAAAAUGUAUUCCAAAAUUUUGACCAAUCAAAAAUGAAAAAACUGAAAUUCCUCCGUGCCGAACACACCCAUAUAAGUUUAAAAAAAGUGUUAUUCCUCUUAAUUUUACAAAACAUUUUUUACGUCAUAAGCUAUUGAAGCCAAUCACAUUUGCUCAUGGCAUACAGCUCAGUAAUAAGAUGUUUACCCUACCAUGAAUCCAAAAAAAUUGAAUUUUAUUAUUUUAAUUUCAUUUUAAACAAUAUUAAAAAUUAUAAAUAAAACGUUACAAACUUUAUAAAAAAAAAAUAAAGAAAACAAAUUAUCUACUUUUUAACAGAAAUAUUUUACAACCGUAAAUGAAACAGCUCAAAUCCGGAUAUUAGUAAAUAAAGUUUUUAAAACAAAAUCCAAGAUAAUGUAUUGAAAACAAAUGACACCAACUGAUUCAAGAGAUCAAGAGAAUUAAUUUUUAUUUUUAUAAGUAAUAAUAUCACUAUAUGAAGUUAAGGAGUUUAUGUCUUUCAAGAAUACUACAUUGAAAAUAAGUAGUAUCUAAAAACAAAAAAAGUAACUCUAAAUUGUUAUUAAUUUUGCAUGUAUAUGUAUAUAUUUAAGAGCUCUCGUUAAAAUUUGAUUUUAUGCUACUAAUUUUAUUAAAAUGCGUUGAGAGUUUUAAAAUCGGUGUUAUGACUAAAUUUUAAGAAUAACAUACUUGUCAUCAUUCGGCAAGUUUCAAAAUUUCAUUGAAACCAUGCACAUGACACAAUCGGAGUGCCAAUGAUUAUGAAUAGUAAUGAAUAUGAACUAGUAAUGUCUAAGGUAUAGAAGAGUUUAAUGCUGGAAACAAGAAAUCUUAAUGAUAUGCAUGAACUUGAGAGUAUAUUACUAUCAUACUAUGUAUUCUGUUGGUUAAGAAUUGAAUAGUUAAAAAUUAUCUUUAUGAAUAUUUAUUAAUGCUAAGUUUGUAUUCAUUACCACUAAAUAAUAAUAAUAAUGGAUGCAAUGGUAUUAUAUAAAUCUUCAUCUAAUUUUUCAUAUUAUAGAUAUUUUAUUUUAUUUUUGGAUUCUCUUCGUAUUUUACAAGCCAAUACUUGAUAAUAUGAAGAUGAGUUGUAACAACAAAAUUCACAACGAGAAAAUAAUCAAAAUUGAUGCUCUUUUGUGGGUGAAUUAGUUUAAACUUGUAAUGAUGCUCCAUCUUGUUUCAUGAAGAGUUUAUAUCAGUGGUUCCAAUUAAUCCAAGUUAAGCCUUUAACCAUAUAACAAAAAUCUAUAUAAACUGCAUUUAAUUGUGCAUAUAAAUUGUUCACUCCCAGUCCUGCAAGUUUGUUUCAUAAGGUCGAAACCUAAUUACAUAAAAAAUACACGAAGAAGCCAAAGGAGUUCAAUAUCUACUAUUCAUACAUAUUUGUUUUUUUAACUAUGCAUAAACAAUAGAUUUUUCACGGAAGGGGUUCAGAGAGCCUUACUUGGCUCCGCCCCUGACCACAACCACUGGAAAAUAGAACACAACAUAAUCUCCAAAUCUUCCAAGCUAAUUUAAAGAAGGCAUGACUUUAAUUUUUAGUCUCACCGUCCCUAAAUGGGUGUUGCUUUAGCAAACAAAAUAAAAGAACAAGAAUCGCUUUAGAAUUCAGAACAAAAAAUAGUAAUUGUUUCCGAAUACACCCUUGUAAUAAAGAACUACUGCUACUUAAUAGUACUCGACUCUCAAAAAACAUAUAAUAAAUAGGGGUAACUUAGCAAACUAUACCUUUUAUUUGUUAUUUUUCUAAUUUUCUUAAUUAGCAUGAAACAAGCCAAAUGGACACACUUAUUUUGAGACGUGAAACAAGCCAAAUGGACACACUUAUUUUGAGACGUGAAACAAGCCAAAUGGACACACUUAUUUUGAGACGAAAAACGUAUAUUGGGAGUAGUUUUUUCAACAUAGGAAUUUGUGCCUUUGAGGAAUAAGUCCAGCCCUCGUGUUUUGGAUGAAGAAGAUAAAUAAAUCUAUUACAUUCGUCUUUUUUUUUUUGACUAUAUUUAUGGACAAGAUAAUAUAUUCCUAAGAUUGUGGGAUUACAAUAAUUUUUUUAACUAAAUAUACAAUGUAUUUAUCAUCUAAAUCAUAUUUUCUUUGGUCAAUUAAAUCUUAGUCAUUAACUGUAACGUAUGCCAUGUGCCCCCAUCCAAGAAAUUGAUUGGCGAAAAUAGAGAGGAGUUGUAUCCAACAAUUAAUGUUAUUAAGAAGAUAUAAAUUAGCUUACUUCCCCUCUUUUUUCUAUGUAAAAUAAAGUAGCUAGAAAGAAGACUCUUAUUACUUUCAUGGAGAUUUCUUACAACAGAAUUAUAGAAGCAAUUUGUGUUGCAAUUUUGUUGGUAUAUACAUGGAGAGUGUUGAAUUGGGCAUGGUUUAAGCCAAAGAAACUUGAAAAAUACUUAAGAAAGAGUGGUCUUAAGGGAAAUCCAUACAAAUUAUUCUAUGGUGAUUUGAACGAACUCACAAAUAAACUAAAUGAAGCUAGAUCUAAGCCCAUCAAUUUCUCUGAUGAUAUAGCCCAAAGGCUCAUCCCUUUUUUCCUUGACUCCAUCUACAAAAAUGGUAUGUUUCUUUUAUUCUUUGUCCUUAAAAGACUAACUUUUUUUCUCUUCUUGUAUAUGUACAAUGUAAUUAAUUUUCUGUAAAGAUGAACCCUUUUUCGAUCGGUACCCUUGCUCCAUCCUAGUGGCAGAUCCGUGGUAACUCUAGAGACUACAGUUGACUGAUGUCAUUACCUAAGCAAUUAGAGCCCUAUGAAUUCAUAGUUGAUAAUUAUAUUAUGCCUUUUUUUUUUAUAUAUUUUUCCUAAGCGAGAACGGAUUACUCUCAGGUAAAAGUUCUUUUGUGUGGCUUGGCCCAUAUCCAGCAGUGUUGAUCACAGAUCCUGAACAUGUAAAAGAGAUUUUCACAAAGAAUUAUGGGUAUCAAAAGAUAGCUCAUCCCAAUCCAUUUGCCAAGUCAUUCGCUAAAGGUCUUGCGUUUCUUGAGGAAGACAAAUGGGCCAAACAUAGAAAAAUCAUCAAUCCUGCUUUCCAUUUUGAGAACUUAAAGGUUAUUUUUUUUACUUCAUAGUCGUAUUACUACUAAAUUUAGCUAACAUGAAGCUCUACUACUGAUAACUAGUACUGGUUUUUGCGAUUAAUUUGUUUUGUACAGCAUAUGUUGCCAGCGUUUUAUCAAAGUUGUAGUGAAAUGAUAAGCAAAUGGGAGGAUAUUGUUCCAAAGGAAACAUCAGUCGAGCUCGAUGUAUGGCCAGACCUUCAAUUAAUGACAGGUGAAGUCAUUUCUCGAACCGCAUUUGGGAGUAGCUAUGAAGAAGGGAGAAAAGUAUUUGAACUUCAGAAAGAACAAGCUGAGUAUGUAAUGGACAUGACUCAUUCAGUUUAUAUACCAGGAUCUAGGUAUAACGAUUUAUUUGUGAAAUUUCUACAUAAUAUGGAAAAUCACAUGUUCAUUACUUUGUCCUAAUUAAAAUAACUUUUCUUGUUUGCUUUUACAUUUGUUUUGUUAGGUUCUUGCCUACUAAAAGGAACAAAAGAAUGAAGGAAAUCGAAAAGCAAAUCCAAACAACGAUUAGGCGUAUCAUCAACAAAAGAUUAAGGGCAAUGGAAGCAGGGGAAACUAGUAAAAAUGACUUAUUAGGCAUAUUACUUGAAUCCAAUAUGAAAGAAAUUGAACAACACGGAAACAAGGAUUUUGGAAUGACAACAAUUGAGUUGAUUGAAGAGUGCAAGUUGUUCUAUUUUGCUGGACAAGAGGGCAAUUCAGUGUUGCUCAUCUGGACGAUGAUUUUGUUGUGCCUACACCCAGAGUGGCAAGUACGUGCCAGAGAGGAGGUCUUGCAGGUCUUUGGAAAUGAAAAAACAAAUUUGGAAGGACUAAGUCGCCUCAAUAUUGUAAGUACUUUCCACAAGUUUGUUAUGUAAGACAAUUUUAAAAUAGAUCAAACUUCAAAGAUGAAGAACACUUUAAAAUUAGAGUAGCUGUUAAAUCGUAUUGCCCAUGAUUAAUGCGAAAUUAUUCCAACUGAGAUCAGAUAGACCACAUUUUCUAUCGUUCUAUUUCAGUCUCAUAGGGGCAAUUAAUUAGUUAGAGACUACUAAAAUAUCUCGGAAAGGCAUGACACCUAAAUUUUACUUCCAACUUAUGCAAUACAUUUUUCUUUCCUUAGGUGACAAUGAUCUUGAACGAGACAUUAAGGCUAUUCCCACCAGUAGCAACAUUUCGUAGAAGGAUUAAAGAAGAAGUCAAAUUAGGGGACCUGAGUCUACCAGCUGGAGUGCAACUCUUCAUACCCACAGUAUUAAUUCAUUAUGACAAGGAAUUAUGGGGUGAAGACGCGAAGGAAUUCAAACCAGAAAGAUUCAGUGAAGGAGUGUCAAAGGCAACAAAAGGAGAGGCCUCGUUUUUUCCAUUUGGCCGGGGACCUCGAAUUUGCAUCGGACAAAACUUUGCAAUGAUGGAAGCAAAGAUGGCAAUAGCAAUGAUACUACAAAAUUUCUCCUUCGAACUCUCUCCGUCUUAUACACAUGCUCCACUUGCAAUAGUUUCUACUCAACCACAGUAUGGUGCUCCUUUACUUAUGCGCAAACUUUGAAAUGGACGUUGCUGAUAUUUAAGAUUAAUGGUGUUGCGUUCUCCGUAUUUCAGGUAGAAUACUAAUAAACUAGUCGGGAUAUGGCUGAUAUCGCUCUUUUCCUAUUUCAACUUUGUAGGUUUCAAAUGUUAUUGUUGUUGUUCACUUGAAUUAGUUUAAACUUGGUAUACUGAUCCAUCUUUUAUCAUGAAGAGUUUAUAUCAGUGGUUCCUAUUGAUCUAAGCCAAGCCUAAAACAAUAUAACGGGAAAUUUUAAAAGUUACCUUUUCUGAAGAAUUCUAUGUAUACUCGCAAUCCCUUAUUGUUACAUAUCAACAUCGGCAAUAUUGAUGAAAAUAUUGAUAUUCAGAUGAUUUCAAUCCUUUGGAAUGGACAUCUGUAUUGAUAAUCACCCCUUCCAUGGAAUAAUCCACAAACCAAUUGUUUGUAUCCCAUUCUCUGCUAUAAUGAAUCAAAAUGAGCAAAGAAUUACUCCGUUGCUUUGGAAUUCAAAACAAAAUAUAGUAAUUGGAAACAAUUACACCGUUGCACUAAAAACGUAAUCUCCCCCUUGGGAACAUUCAUCCUCGAAUGAGAUUCAAGGCAUAUUUUAAACGAAAAGAGUCUAACAUGUGUGUGAGUCAAUGAGGGAGUGAGUAAGCCCAUAAUUUGUAAGGAAGUUGAUUAGUGAGAUCCCCCUAAGGGGUGCACUGGCGACUGACCUUGAUCAUCUUAGAAGGGUUCUAGUGUGAGAAUACGGUCUCGGAACGCUGCCACACUAUCAAAAGUAGAAUCACAAUGUCAAUAUGGUUGUUUUGACACCAAAAUUGCAUUUUUCGGAGACGGGCCCAAAAUCGCGUCUAAAAUGGGACUCUAAAAAACAUCUAAUAAAUAGAGAUCACUUAGUUAACUAUAUCUAUAUUUAAUUCUCCUCACAUUUUUUUGACUUUUUUUUUGUUUCAAUGACUAAUUUAAAUUUAUUAUUUUGAUGGUCAAGUUUAUUUAUGUUUCACUAUUUUUUUUGUAAAAUUUAUUAUAGAUGACCCAUUUUUUUUUUUCAAAUACAAAAACUAAAUUACAAUAUUGCCGAAAAAGAUAGUCUUAAAUUAUUAAUAUACCCACAAAAAAAUUAGUCUUGAAUUUUUUUUCUUUACACUAAGGAAUGAAAUAAAAAAAUAAAAUUAGAAUAAGAAAUAAUCAAAGAAGUCAAAAACAAUAUGUAUGAAAAAGAUUAAAAUAUACCUUGAACUUUUCUAGAAGGAUCAUAUAGGGUUGUUCAAAAACAAACCGAAAAAAGUUAUUUGUUUAUCAAUAUUGGGUUAUUGGUUUAACGGUUUUGAUAACGAUUUUGAUUUUUUUUGUAAUCGGGUUAUCGGUUCUUAACAGUUUGAGUGUUCUCUUAACGGGUUAACCGAUAACCCGAUAGUAAAUUAGAUAAUUAUAUUUAUACCAUUUUGUAUAUAAAGUCCUUGACUUAGAGUUUGGUUUCCUACUUUUAUUUAUGGUUGUCUCAAAUACUUGGUUAUUCUACAAUGUAAAAGUGCCUACUUUUGAGCAAGACGUAACUUGUGAACUCAUGUGCAUGGUUUAUUUGGUUUUUCACCUUGUUUCUAAGUGAUUUUCAAUUGUUUUUUUUUUUGUGUCAAAUCUUAAUGGCUAAACCGAUAACGAUCAAAAACCGGUAAACCAAUAACCAAUAACCAAUAAGCCAAUAUCUUAAUGGUUCUAUAAUGGUUUAGUAUCUCUACAAACCGAUGACCAAUAAGCCAAACCAAUAAACUUCAAAACCGAACCGAAUCGACCAAUACGCAACCCUAGGAUCAUAUAUACCCCUAUAUGAUUUUUAAAAAAAAUUAAAAUUCCAAAAAAUACAAAAUUUAAAAUUAAUUUUUCACUUCCGUUGAAUGAAUGAUAUAUAUGAGCUAAUUUUGUAACAAUAGGAGUAUAUGUGAACCGUUUGUAUAACAGUAAGGUUAUAUAUGAGUCACUUUCAUAAUGAGGAGCAUAUCAGCUCCAAAUGACAAAGUUGAGGGAUAUAUCAAAUUAUUUUCCUUUUCAAAUAUUUUUUAUAGUAUAAGAGUAUAUAUGGUCGUUUUUCCAUAUAUAUAAUCUAGACAAAUACUAUGGAAGGUAGGAGUGGGAUAAGGAUGAUGAGGAUGAAGAUGGGGUGUGUUGGAAGGUUCAGAAGAUACAAUCAAUAUGGAAUAUCACUUUACUUAUUUUUCUUAUUUCCACUACAAAAGUCAUAUUCUAGCUCAUUUUAAGUAGGGAAAAAGGACAAAAUGUACCCCUGAACUAUCGUAAAUGGUAUGCAGAUACCCUCCAUCAUACUUUUGGGACAUUGGUGUCCCUGCCAUCCAAAACCUAGAGAAUAUAUACCCUUCACUCUAAUGGAAGACUAAAUAGGGACACGUGGCACAAUCUUAUCCGUCGAUCCGAUAUUUAAUAAAUGUCGGAUCGAUGGAUAAGAUUAUGUCACGUGUAUAAAUGUUAGUAUAAAGUGUAUAUUUGCUCUAGUUUUUGGUGCUUUCAUUUUCGUACUCUAAUGGCGGUGGUGGGUUUAGAUCGAUUCACUGGCACGGGUAAUCUAGAUGACUGGAUCUUUCGGGCCGAAUGAUACUUCGCUUACCUUGGCUUCCCGGAGAAUGACUGGCUACCUCUUCCUUUCCUCUAUCUCGAUGGUGAAGCACUUGACUGGUUCCGUUGGAUGUAUCGCAAACAAACAAUUUUGGGAUUGGAAGCAUUUCAAGGAAAAGUUAUCUUUGUGCUUUCGAGCAUGAACCACCCUUGAGUUUGCUGUUGCACAUACGCAAAUCACGACUAUUCUUACUUUGCUACAGAAGGUGCAUGACAGUUUUUCAGUUAUGUCUAAGCAACUUGACAACACCCAUAUCUCAAAUUCUAGUAUUUCCAAUAUCACGGGCUUGUCACCAACAAUAGUUCAAGAGGUUGCAAUAGAAGAUGCAAUUGACAGUGCUACUACGAGGGUUAGCGAAGAGAUCGCCUCUGCUUUGGGUGAUGGACAAUCAAGCAUUGCAAAUAAUUUUGAGGUACAUCCUGAGACGUUUGACACUUUGAUCGACAUAAACCUCCUUUUUGCUUGGACAACUUUUGUCAUGGGAGAUCCAUGCAGACCAGGUGUUUGAUGAAAGUUCUCACCAACUUGAAGGCUCAAGUCCAUGAAUUUGACAUGGCUUUGGACUUGGUAGCGGAUAAUUUAGUGGGGUUGCAAAUUCCUUUGCAGGCCACGAGAUCUGUUGAGCCGCCCCUGGUCGAGGAAGGUGAAUGUCUCGAAACUAAAACAGACAUAGUGUUUGAUGGAAGUCUCCAGCGAAAUGAGUUCGACCUACAAUGCCAAUUUGCAAAUUUGCAGCUUGUUGUGACAGACAAAAAAAAUUUCUCAUGAGAUUUUGAGUUCUGAUUUUGAUGAACCAAUAUGAGUUGAUGGAUACGUCUCCCUUAUCCCUCAUGAUGACGUUGCUGCGAUUGCUGAGUUUUUUUCAAUUUGUAUUCAAUCACUCGUGAUUGGCCGAUUUUGGGGACCUAGCAAUGUGUGAGAGUGUGACAGAUGGCUUACCCACUUGUCAUUGGUUUGACACUGGGCAGCAUGUUUCUCCGUUUAUUCCAUUCGUGUUCAGGCUUACGAAGUAUGGCCAUCAUGUAUCUGCAACAGAAUUUGAUAAGAAUGGUUAUCGUCCUAUUAUUGGGGCUCAAGGUAGCAGCAUCCUAAUUUUUGCCAUUAGGUGCUCAAGUUACUAUAGCAACGGGGAUAACUCAAAAAUAGCUUGGGAAGGGGCUUCUCACAAUUGGUUUCUCAAGAUGUCGCGCUACAUCCUAGCUAUGGAAUCAGGCAAUUCAAAGAUGAACCAACUAUUCGACGCAAUGUCGGAUAAAGCUUGCAAGGUAUUCAAUGUUAUGUCCACAUCGUUACUGGUUAGGGUGCUCGCUGAAACACCCAAAGAAACGGGUACUAUUCAGCAAUUUCACUUUAAAGACAGAGAAUGUUUACUGAUUUCUUUUGGUGGUCAAGAAUCUAUAGUGUCGGCUGCACAUUCCACACACGCCCUACCAAGGAGGUAUUUUGAUGUCAACUCUCUUUAUAGUGUCUUGUCUAGACAGAAAAUUGAUUUGGUGGCAUCUAACAACAUAUAUGUUGACAUAAUUCUCAUGAAGUCCACAAUACUUGAUGAUGUUUCAAAGAGAGAAAUACAAUCGAAUGAUGUGAGGAAUGAUGUUAAACAUGUAAAAUUUAAUGAGGGAAUAAGACAUGAUGAAAGUCUCUUUCCAGUCGAUCCCGGUGAGAAUCUGUUCAUGGUUAAACUUGGUGGAAUGGUGAAGGUUAAUUGUGUAUGGGAUCCAGGAAUCAGUUCCAAAAUUAUGCACCGAAAUGGUCUUAUGGAAACCAUUGGCACACACCUAUUGCUGGAAUUUAUUGUUACUAUUUCUCUACUUCUUAAUUACUUUUAUGAUGCUCACUUGAAAGGUAAUACUCAAUCUACAAAAAGGAGGUAGAUGACAGCAAAAGGACUCUCUGUAUUUCCUUAUUUUUGGCUGAGUUUGUCACAGGACAAUGGAUGGCAAGUUUUAGUUGAUGUAUGUGCGUUGGGAGCUAAGAACAUGCCUACGUUGAGUGUAAAACCUUCAUCCUAAAUAGAACCACUUGGUGCAUGGGGUGAUAAAAAUUUAGGCCCCUGUGCAUGGGGUGAUAAAAAUUUAACUGUUGCAGGGAUAAUGGAGCAUCAAAAUGUGUCAACAGACCAAUGUGCAUAUUGGUGUUUGAGAAUGAUAUAUAUUUCUACUGAUGAGAUCUCAUAUUGGGCUGAUACUAUUGUUUGUCCAAUGAACAAUAUUAAUUGCAUGCGUGCUUUCAAGUGCAUCUCUGUUACAGGUAUGGAGACUUGUAAAUUGGUUCAAGGUUGUUCAACCUAUUGAGUUACAUAUAUAGAAAUCACUCUUCACAAGACUAGAUGAAAGCUAAACACCAUAAAAUGUUGAAGAUCUAAAACACACACUGAAGAAAAAAGUUUAACAAUUUUCAAUAUAGGUUAACUAAACUACAACUAUUUUUAAAAGUUUGACGCAUAAGCAGAGGAGCACCAUACUGUGGAUGAAUAGUCACUACUUCAACUGGAGCAUGUGUAUAUGAUGGAGAGAGUUCGAAGGUGAACUUUUGUAGUAUCAUUGCUAUUGCCAUUUUUGCUUCCAUCAUUGCAAAGUUUUGUCCAAUGCAAAUUCGGGGACCCCAACCAAAUGGAAUAAACGAGACUUGUCCAUUUGUUGCCUUUGACACUCCUUCACUGAAUCUUUCAGGUUUGAAUUCCUUCGCCUCUUCACCCCAUAAUUCCUUGUUAUAAUGUACUAAGAUUGCGGGUAUAACGAGUAGUACUUCAGCUGGUAGACUCAGCUCACCCAAUUUAACUUCAUCUUUGUUCCUUCUACCAUAUAUCAGUGCUGGGGGGAAUAGCCUUAACGUCUCGUACAAGAUCAUUGUCACCUAAGGAAAACAAACAUGUAUUACAUAAGUUGGCAGUAGAAUUAGUGCACUAAUGAGAGAAAUUGUGAAAAGUACUUACAAUUUUUAGACGACUAAGUCCUUCAAAAUCUGGUUUUUCAUUUCCGAAUACAUUCAAAACCGCCUCUCUGGCACGUACUUGCCACUCUCGAUGUAGGCACAGUAAUAUCAUCAAAAUAGAAUAACUUGCACUCUUCGAUUACUUCUGUUAUUGUCAAUCCGAAAUCUUUGCUUCCGUGUUGUUCAAUUUCUUUCGUAUUGGAUUCAAGUAAUAUGCCUAAUAAAUCUUCAUUAUUAGUCUCCCCUGCUUGCAUCGCCAUCAAUCUUUUGUCAAUGAUACACCUAAUUGUCGUUUGAAUUUCCUUUUCGAUUUCCAGCAUUCUUUUCUUCUUCUUACUAGGGAAGAACCUAAAAAUAAAAUUUUAAGUAAAUUUCUAUGCUAUGAACUAUGAAGUAGAAAUUUGCUCGAAUGCAUUAAUAUUGUACGUACCUCGACCCUGGUAUAUAAAUCGAAAAAACUUGUUCCAUUACAUACUCAGCUUGUUCUUUCUGAAGUUCAAAUACUAUUCUCCCUUCUUCAUAGCUACUCCCAAAUGCAGUUCGAGAAAUGACUUCACCGGUCAUUAGUUGAAAGUGUGGCCAUACAUCGAGCUCGACUGAUGUUUCCUUUGGAACAGCCUCCUCCCAUUUGCUUAGCAUUUCACUACAACUCUGAUAAAAUGCUAGAACCAUAUGCUGUUACUUAGACAGGUUAAUCACUCAUGAUCACUAUACUAGCUAUACGCAAAAAGAAAAAAAUAGUAAUAUGUAUAACCUUUAGUUUCUCAAAAUGGAAGGCGGGAUUGAUGAUUUUUCUAUAUUUAGCCCAUUUCUGUUCCUCAAGGGUAACGAGACCUCGAACCAAUAACUUCGCGAAUGGAUUAGAAUGCUUAUUCUUGUUAUACACAUAAUGUUUUUCAAAAAUUAUCUUUAUAAGUGAAGGUUCUGUGAUGAAUACUAUAGGCUUGGGGCCUAGCCAGGCAAAAGAAUUUUUACCUGCAGAGUAUUUAGCAGUUUUGUGUUAGUAAAAAAAGCAGGGCUUAUACUAAACCUAAAUCAAACUCUAUAUCGAGUAUCCAGAAUCCAUAAACUCAAAAUCUUAGCUCCAUCCUGGGUACAAACGUUUUACAAGAAGAACUAUACUAUGCCACAAUACUUCAACUAGAGGAGCGACCAGUUGGUUCACCAAACCCCAACCUAGCGUCACAUGUUCUCUUCAAAUACAAGGAGAUCUAGAGACAAACUACCGACUCCUCCAAAAAUUACAUUAUUAAGCGAAAAAUAAUUGUUAGUGGACCACCACCACUUUUUAACAAUUGCAUGAAGUCGAAGACAUAAUUCCGUAGAUAAAAGUUUGCUCCCUUUAAUAGUUUGCAUGAUCACACAUUUAAACAUGAUAUCAGAUCAGGAAAAGCAAAGAUUGGAUUCAUGUCUUAUAUAAAAAAAAAUAUAUGUGAUUGGUCCAUGAAAAGAAUAUGAUUAUGCAGACAUGAUAUCAGAUCAGGCAAGGAAGAAAAAUAAGUAAUAAAAAAAAAAAUUAAAAACUAGAUUGUUGUAGUUACCAUUUUGUUGAUGGAGUCACAGAAAAAAGGGAUGAGCCUUUGAGGUACAUCAUCAGAGAAAUUGAUAGGCUUAGAUUUGGCUUCAUUGAGUUUAUUUGUAAGCUCUUUCAAAUCUCCAUAGAGUAAUUUGUAUGGAUUUCCCUUAAGACCACUCUUUCUUAAGUAUUUCUCAAGUUUUUUUGGGCUUCGUCCUAUACUCAUAUACAAACAUUUAUGCCUUUGGUUUUCUAUAGACACUUUUUCUUUUGAAUUUUCUAUAAAAAAAUUUUAAAUAUUUGCUUUAUGUUAUAUCAUGUAUUCAGAAUAGUAAAUCAGAAAUACUGAGUCCACAUAAUUCACUAUGUGUUCUUAAGAAAUUUAAUCCACUCAAUGUACCCGAGGUUGUGGAUUAUUGCCUCCCAGGAUAAAAUGGAUAUACCUAUUAAAAAAGUAGUGGUACCUCACACUUCAAUAACUUCAGCAAACUCAAAAGUCAGCAACGAAAUCAUCAUACAUAUUAAAGAAGUAGUGAUACCUCACACUUUAGCAACAAAAUCAUACAUAUUAAAGAAGUAGUGGUACCUCACACUUUAAUAAUUUCAGCGAACUCAAAAGACAGCAACGAAAUCACACAAUGACUCUACUUUAAGGAGAAAAUUCCAACAAAAUACUUGGUUUGUAAGAAAAUACGUGUAUGCAGAAGAAGGAAAAAAAUUGAUAUGAUGGUGCGGUGUGAACUCACAUGUUCAGAAUAGGCAUGUCGAUGCCGAGGCCGAGCGAGCGACGAUGAUGCGAGGGCACCCUCUCCUUAGCCCUUUAAGGGGUAAAGGAAGUGUUUCACUAAACAUAAAUUCGAUUGCUAAGAAAAAAAAUUAAAAUCAAUCAAAAGCUAAAUAACCUUGAUAACAUUAACAAAACUGCAGUUAAUGUUUUAAAUUCGAAGCAUGACUUCCGCGAUCACCCAACAAUUUAGUAUCGAUCAUUUGAAUGAUGCAUGUAGAUCAACGUACAACGCAAAUGACGUACAUAUCAUCUUAAAGUUUGCGCAUAAGCAGAGGAGCACCAUACUGAGGAUGAAUAGACACUACUGCAACUGGAGCAUGUGUAUAUGAUGGUGAGAGUUCAAAGGAGAACUUUUGUAGUAUCAUUGUUAUUGCCAUCUUUGCUUCCAUCAUUGCAAAGUUUUGUCCAAUGCAAAUUCGGGGUCCCCAACCAAAUGGAAUAAACGAGACUUGUCCAUUUGUUGCCUUUGACACUCCUUCACUGAAUCUUUCAGGUUUGAAUUCCUUCGCGUCUUCACCCCAUAAUUCCUUGUUAUAAUGUACUAAGAUUGCGGGUAUAACGAGUAGUACUUCAGCUGGCAGACUCAGCUCACCCAAUUUGACUUCAUCUUUGUUCCUUCUACCAUAUAUCGGUGCUGGGGGGAACAACCUUAACGUCUCGUACAAGAUCAUUGUCACCUAAGGAAAACAAACAUGUAUUGCAUAAGUUGACAGUAGAAUUAUUUCACUUAUGAGAAAUUCUGAAAACUACUUACAAUUUUGAGACGACUUAGUCCUUCAAAAUCUGGUUUUUCAUUUCCGAAUACAUUCAAAACCUCCUCUCUUGCACGUACUUGCCA
RNAcentral lists this long non-coding RNA (20153 nucleotides) under Solanum tuberosum (potato). RNAcentral's name for it is "long non-coding RNA (STUB_LNC007694)". The record is from RNAcentral. Lineage: Eukaryota; Viridiplantae; Streptophyta; Magnoliopsida; Solanales; Solanaceae.